Molecule: transfer RNA, 76 nt
Filed under: Mesosutterella sp.
Lineage: Bacteria; Pseudomonadati; Pseudomonadota; Betaproteobacteria; Burkholderiales; Sutterellaceae
Also listed under: 2 other names
Description: tRNA-Val
Rfam family: tRNA
About the family: Transfer RNA (tRNA) molecules are approximately 80 nucleotides in length. Their secondary structure includes four short double-helical elements and three loops (D, anti-codon, and T loops).
Source: RNAcentral
GGGCACUUAGCUCAGCUGGCAGAGCGGCGCCUUUACACGGCGUAGGUCAGGAGUUCGAACCUCUUAGUGCCCACCA